GAUGAACGCUGGCGGCGUGCCUAACACAUGCAAGUCGAACGAACAGACGCGGAGUUUGCUCCUCUGUCGAUUGCCGCGGGCGGGUGAGUAACAUGGGUAUACCCCCCCUAUCUUACUGGGAUAACUUCGGGAAUGCGGCUCAUAUCCCAUAUGAUAUAGUGAACCGUGUGGUUCUAUAGAGAUAGACGGUUUUGCUGUCACUUCUCGAUGUAUCCGCGCCUGAUUGGCUAGUUGGUAAGGUAACGGUUUACCAAGGCGACGAUGCGUAGCCGAGCUGAGAGGGGGAUCGGCCACACUGGAACUGAGACACGGUCCAGAAUCCUAAGGGAGGCAGCAGUAGGGAAUGUUGCACAAUGGGCGAAAGCUUGACAAAGCAAGGACGCGUGAGUGAUGAAGGUCUUCGGAUGGUAAAACUCUGUUAGUAGGGAAGAACAAAUGUGUAAGGAAAAAUGGACGUCGUGACGGUACCUAAUCAAGAAGCAACGGCUAACUACGUG
This 497-nucleotide ribosomal RNA is filed under the name uncultured bacterium. RNAcentral's name for it is "partial 16S ribosomal RNA". It matches the Rfam family "Bacterial small subunit ribosomal RNA", at positions 28 to 507 of the family's 1533-position model. The record is from RNAcentral.